AAGGAAGUGGGCUGAAAACGCGCAGCUACCAAGAGUGCACCGUGCGGGGCGAGAAGGGAAGGGGUGACCCCAGCCGGAAGCAGAAACACACUGGGGAAGAAGGAGACGGCAGUCAGGAGUCAACUACCAUGUUGUCGCUGAGACCUAACAGGAGAGAGACGCCCUGCAGAGGACGGCGUGGUGCAGAGUCCACGGGCCCGGUGUGGAUCCAGCCCAGGCCUUCCUCCCAGACUUCCACACCCUCACAGGAGACUCCCUACACAGCUCUGGGCUGACCAGUCAGAAUAUUUCUUUUCCCUGGCCACAGUGACUGUGACGCACACCAGGGCCCAGCUUGGACAGGGAACUGAGGAGGAGGCAAGGGCUGCUAGCCUGCAGUUCUCUCUCCUCAGGAACGUCUG
Molecule: long non-coding RNA, 401 nt
Filed under: Equus caballus (horse)
Lineage: Eukaryota; Metazoa; Chordata; Mammalia; Perissodactyla; Equidae
Description: lncRNA (ENSECAG00000048241.1)
Source: RNAcentral